This 252-nucleotide ribosomal RNA is filed under the name uncultured bacterium. RNAcentral's name for it is "partial 16S ribosomal RNA". It matches the Rfam family "Bacterial small subunit ribosomal RNA", at positions 30 to 289 of the family's 1533-position model. The record is from RNAcentral.
UUGAACGCUGGCGGCAUGCCUUACACAUGCAAGUCGAGCGGUAGAGGGGCAACCCUUGAGAGUGGCGAACGGGUGAGUAAUAUAUCGGAACGUGCCCAGUCGUGGGGGAUAACGCAGCGAAAGCUGCGCUAAUACCGCAUACGAUCUAUGGAUGAAAGCGGGGGAUCGCAAGACCUCGCGCGAUUGGAGCGGCCGAUAUCAGAUUAGGUAGUUGGUGGGGUAAAAGCCCACCAAGCCGACGAUCUGUAGCUG